This 174-nucleotide ribosomal RNA is filed under the name uncultured bacterium. RNAcentral's name for it is "partial 16S rRNA". It matches the Rfam family "Bacterial small subunit ribosomal RNA", at positions 338 to 524 of the family's 1533-position model. The record is from RNAcentral.
CCUACGGGAGGCAGCAGUGGGGAAUAUUGCACAAUGGGCGAAAGCCUGAUGCAGCGACGCCGCGUGGGGGAUGACGGCCUUCGGGUUGUAAACCUCUUUCGCCAGGGACGAAGCGAGAGUGACGGUACCUGGAGAAGAAGCACCGGCUAACUACGUGCCAGCAGCCGCGGUAAU